This 406-nucleotide ribosomal RNA is filed under the name uncultured Tulasnellaceae. RNAcentral's name for it is "LSU rRNA". It matches the Rfam family "Bacterial large subunit ribosomal RNA", at positions 1732 to 2036 of the family's 2925-position model. Lineage: Eukaryota; Fungi; Basidiomycota; Agaricomycetes; Cantharellales; Tulasnellaceae. The record is from RNAcentral.
AAGUUAGACGAUAUGAAGAACCCCCANCCCGCUUGCGGGAGGGAAGCUAGCUUUUUCUUUAGUAAUAUCUAAAGAUUAGGAGGGUACAGNUCAGCCUUAUAUUUUUAUACAAGGUNUAAUAGCUAGGCCUUAGCAGCCCUAAAGGGGGUGGCACAAAAUCGGAGGCCCCGACUGUUUACUUAAAACACAGCUUUCUGCGACGAAUAAUAUCUUUGUAUAGAAAGUGAAUUUUGCCCGAUGCCAUUAAUAUAAAGUCGAUAAGCGCUUAGCGUAAUUAUUGGCUGAAGUUCUGGUCAAUGGCGGUCUUAUCUAUGAGGAUCCUAAGGUAGCAAAAUUAAUUGUCCAUUAAAUGUGGUCCUGACUGAAUAAAGUAACGAUGGUCUCGCUGUCUCUACAAGUAUCUCAG